Molecule: non-coding RNA, 1315 nt
Organism: Pelobates cultripes (western spadefoot toad)
Lineage: Eukaryota; Metazoa; Chordata; Amphibia; Anura; Pelobatidae
Source: the annotation of a GenBank genome assembly
UUUUUUUUUUCUGCUUCCUAGGACAUAUUUGAAAACAAGAGAAAUCUCACUGAAUACCACCUGCUAAAACACUUUCCAAAUUUAUUAUAGCAAAUUUUAAUACAUUCUGAUUUUUCUCUUUGCCUGGGAGGAUGUGCCCCCUGGAGUAACUGGGCCCAGAGAAGUUGCCCUGUUUGCCCCGCGUUAAAGACGGCCCUGAGUGACAGAAAGGGUUAUUACCUCUUUUGCACCACUGGGCGAUUACGGGGGGUUCCUUGACAGAGAGGGAAGCUAUAGUGCCAGGAAAAGUCUCUGAUAAUCUUCCAUUGGCUCCAUUCUUUAAAGCCAUCUCCCUUCACUAUAUCCUCUGCUGAGCUCUCCCCCUGCAGUACUCAUCCAGGUAGCAAAAACCAAAACAAACCAAAAUCUCAUCCAGGUAGCAACUGAAAGCACUGCUCCCUAGCCAGGUAGGACUUUGUCUUAUACUCUGCAUAAAGAAAUUUAAUUAAACUGUUUAGUAGUAAUGUUUUACUUUUAGCACUGCAGUUCCUACUGACUACGUUUCACGUGAGACUCAGACAGCCAUUUAGCUGGCUGUGUCUUGACAAAUAUAAUGUACUUGAACUGGAGUGUUAAUGGUAUGGCAAACAGGUUAUCAAGCAUAACAAUGAAUAUUUUUACAAUUCUUUGACAAGCAAGUAAGGCACAAUAGCAAGAUGUAAGGCAUAGUACAAGUGUCACUGUUACAUACAAUGUGGCUAGUACUCUGCACUUUUUUGUAUUAUUACCGAACAUGAACUUAGUCCUAGAGGACGUGGGAAUACAUGACUAAUUAUAGAGACAUUUACAUAGAGCACCGUUGUCCUAGUCUAGGCACAUUAGUUCGAGUAUGAACGUGAGUAGGACUACGUGAGAAUGUUUUAGAACAGAUAUACUGGAUUUCUAACAAUGAACAAGCUUAAAAACAAAAUUAAUAUGGGCAUUAGCAGCAAAAUAAAGGGAUACUAUAUGCACAAAAACAACUUUGGGUAAACAGCAGUUUUGGUGUAUAGAUCAUGCCCCUGCAGUCUUACAACUCAAUCUCUGGCAUUUAGAAGUUAAAUUAUUUUGUUUGUGCAGCCCUUGCCUAUGACUUAUACAUCUUUCCUAACCAACUCCUGUAAAGAGAAAUCUAAUGUUUAAACUUCCUUUUUUGCACAGUGUGUUUAAUGUUGAAAUUUUUACGUCCUUCUCUGUUACUGGCCUGCUAAAGCCUGCAGGUGCCUCAUGAUUGUAAUUAAAGGACCAUGCAGCACCCAUAGAGCACUUCAGCUUCCUUGAUGGGUGAAGAGUUUCC